AUGGUAACGCAAAAAGAGUUUGUAUAUCAAAAAGAUGAUUCAGACCGGUUCCGCACACCUUCCAAAAUGAAUUUGCAAAAGGAUGAUAACGGCGUUGAUGUAACUUCUCGUGGAAACACACCUUUUUACUGCACACCUGAGUACUGGGAUAGUUUCAAGGGUGAUAUGGAUGAUCCUGUCCAAGUACCAGAAGUAUCAGAUGAAAAAGCUGCCACAUCUUUGGAGACGGACGAAAUCGCAUCGCAUGCGUCGGUUGGUUCUCAAGGAGUACAAGAGGAAGUGGAGGAGGUUACUGGCAGGCGCAAGCGCAGAGGAUCACAACAUGUCAAGUCUCCUUAUGUGGUCCCUAAACCAAACAAACGUGCAAAACGUUCUGCCAAAGGAAGUAAGUUUUCUGUGUUUCUAAUUGUUAUUGCGUAA
This 420-nucleotide ribosomal RNA is filed under the name Triticum aestivum (bread wheat). RNAcentral describes it as "partial small subunit ribosomal RNA". Lineage: Eukaryota; Viridiplantae; Streptophyta; Magnoliopsida; Poales; Poaceae. The record is from RNAcentral.